AGAAGAUAGAAGCAGAUCCCUGGAGCUCUGGAGCUGUGAGAACUGAGGGGCCAUGAGUGACAGUUAUUGAGUGCUUCGUGUCUGCCAGGCGCAGAUGUGGCAGUUGAUAGGCAAAGUGCAUCAUGGGACAGGAACUGCUCAUGUGGCCUCACCGGCAGAAGCUCUCGGGGACACUUGAGCUCUCUAGCCCGAUUCCCUGCUUGUAACACUCCCCCGGCCUGGCUGGGGGAAGACAGAAGAGCACAGAUGUUAGACAGGCCUGACGUGUUUUUUUAUUUACCUCUGUGUGGAUGUGGGUGUGGGUGCGUACUCGCUCACAUGGAGAUGACGGAGAUAUGAAGACUGUGGUAUGGGACUUUGGGUGUCCUCUAACUCUCUCCACCUUCAUUACUUGAGACGAGGUGUCUCGCCUUGUUGGCUAGUUUUUAUGUCAACUUAACACAAGCUCAAGUGACCCGGAAAAAGAGCACACCACUUGAGAAAAUACUCCCACCAGCUUCGCCUGUGGAUAAGUCCGAGGUGAGUUUUAUUGACUAGUGAUUUAUGUGGGAGGCGUCCCCCCAGGUGGUCUCAGAGGUGUGUAAUUAAGCAGGCUGAGCAAGCCUUAAAGAGAAAGCGAGUAAGCAUCACCCCUUCAUGGCUUCUGAAUCAGUUACCCCACUUUCAGGUUCCUGCACUGACUUCCCUGCAUGCGGACUACGAGGUGCAAGCUAAAAUAAAACCUUUCCCCUCCAA
This is a long non-coding RNA of Grammomys surdaster, 735 nucleotides long. RefSeq lists it as uncharacterized. The record is from RefSeq and is a predicted model, not a curated record. The transcript has 3 exons. Lineage: Eukaryota; Metazoa; Chordata; Mammalia; Rodentia; Muridae.